This 523-nucleotide ribosomal RNA is filed under the name uncultured bacterium. RNAcentral describes it as "partial 16S ribosomal RNA". It matches the Rfam family "Bacterial small subunit ribosomal RNA", at positions 28 to 523 of the family's 1533-position model. The record is from RNAcentral.
GACGAACGCUGGCGGCGUGCCUAAUACAUGCAAGUCGAACGCUUUUUCUUUCACCGGAGCUUGCUCCACCGAAAGAAAAAGAGUGGCGAACGGGUGAGUAACACGUGGGUAACCUGCCCAUCAGAAGGGGAUAACACUUGGAAACAGGUGCUAAUACCGUAUAACACUAUUUUCCGCAUGGAAGAAAGUUGAAAGGCGCUUUUGCGUCACUGAUGGAUGGACCCGCGGUGCAUUAGCUAGUUGGUGAGGUAACGGCUCACCAAGGCAACGAUGCAAAGCCGACCUGAGAGGGUGAUCGGCCACACUGGGACUGAGACACGGCCAAGACUCCUACGGGAGGCAGCAGUAGGGAAUCUUCGGCAAUGGACGAAAGUCUGACCGAGCAACGCCGCGUGAGUGAAGAAGGUUUUCGGAUCGUAAAACUCUGUUGUUAGAGAAGAACAAGGAUGAGAGUAGAACGUUCAUCCCUUGACGGUAUCUAACCAGAAAGCCACGGCUAACUACGUGCCAGCAGCCGCCGCGG